GAUGAACGCUAGCGGCAGGCUUAAUACAUGCAAGUCGAGGGGCAGCAUGAAGUCGCAAUACUUUGAUGGCGACCGGCAAACGGGUGCGGAACACGUACACAACCUUCCUUUAAGUGGGGGAUAGCACAGAGAAAUAUGGAUUAAUACCCCGUAACACAACGAAGUGGCAUAACUUUGUUGUUAUAGUUUCGGCGCUUAAUGAUGGGUGUGCGUAUGAUUAGAUAGUUGGCGGGGUAACGGCCCACCAAGUCUACGCUCAUUAGCUGAUCUGAGAGGAUGAAAGGCGACCCCGGAAGUGAGAGACGCCCCGGCCCCCUCCGGGAGGGAGCAGUGCGGAAUAUUGGACAAUGGGAGGAAGCCUGGUCUAGCCAUCCCGCGUGGGUGAAGAAGGACUUCUCCUUGUAAUGCUAUUUUUUUGGGAAAGAAAAGAAACAGGUUUCUAUCUCGACCUUCUGACGGUACCAAAAGAAUAAGCACCGGCUAACUCCGUG
RNAcentral lists this ribosomal RNA (491 nucleotides) under uncultured bacterium. RNAcentral's name for it is "partial 16S ribosomal RNA". It matches the Rfam family "Bacterial small subunit ribosomal RNA", at positions 28 to 507 of the family's 1533-position model. The record is from RNAcentral.